AAUAACAAGAUCCUUUAGCUUUCCAAAAUUGAACAAAGCCAUCAAUGCUAGGCUUCAUUUCUUCAUUCCUCAUUUGACGACCUCCAUAACCAAGUGGUCCUUCUUGUAAGUCAACAUUAUCAUCUUGAACUUGAAUAAGAAUCUCUUGCGCGUGAUGCUCAAUAUGCACUUCUUCAUUGGUAAAUUUUAGCUAGUAAAAGGUAAUUUUUAUUCGGGUAUUAUUUUUCGGGGUGUUUUAUUUUUAGAAUUGGGUAGUAUAUAGGUGAUGGACAGGGUUGGACAGGCCCAAACCCAGCCCUCACUUUUCUUUUUCCCUCUCUCUCCCUCCCGGUUUCCACUCCCGAGCUCUCUCUCUUCUUCCGCCGGAAACCUCCGCUCGCAGCUGUCGUCCGGCCAAGCAGGGACGCCGCACCACUCCAGCACGGUCUGUCGUCCUCCCCGCCGCCAUCCUGGGCUGGUGAGCGGCGCUGUAGCCCCGCCGAUCGGAGGAAAUCCUCCUUGGACGCCGUUUGUCUUCUCGCCGGAGCUCCCUCCUCCGGCCACCAAAACCGGGGAUCCUUGGCUCGUUUUGUAGCCCUCCUCCUGUGCAGCAACCCCUCCAAACAGCUCACCCUCUCUUGAGCUAGGUAAGGAGAAAUGUGAAGUUGAAUUUCUAGAGCGUUUUUUAUGUUUCUAUUCGAUUGGCAUAGCUAGGAUUGGAUUUUGGGUUUGUGCUAGUUAGGAAAGUUGUAGAGCAUGAUGAGAGGAAAGAUGCUGUCAAAAUUUCAUAGGUUUUGGAGGUCGCCGGAAUCGGCCUCCGGCCGCCGCUGCCGGCGGAGCCGCCGCGGUUUGGGAGAUUUUUAGGGUUUUAAAUGUGGAAUAUUAAGGGGAUUAUAUUGAUGUGAUUUAUGGAAUUUUUGGAUGAGAUUUGGAUAGGUUUGUGAAUUUCCGAAGUUUGGUAUUUUUGGCGGUUAAUUAAUGUAGAAUCCGGCCGUAGGAUUUAAGUCGUAUUUUUGGGGAGGUUGUAUUUACGACUGUCGAGUAUGAUAUUUAAGUUCGGAUCAUUUCGAUUUAAGAAUAUCGAAGUUAGGCAAUGAUGAGCGUAUUUAUGGCUCUCGGGUAAUUUUGCCUAUUUUGAUUAAAUAUUGGAUUGUUAGUUGGGAAAUUAAUAUUAUAUUUGAAUCAGGACGUGAGGAGGCUCGAGCAGACGAGGCCCCAGAUCGACAUCAGGCUUAGGCCUAAUUUGUGAGUGGACUUUUGUUUUAAAUAAAAUGCAUGCUAGAGUUCAUGGUUGAACAAUAAUUGUUGCGGAAUAUUUUGACGUCAUUUUAAUUUGACGAAUUUUAUUUCUCUUGGAGAGUUACCGAAAAUAGAAUUUUCGGUGGAUAUAAAUAUGUAUUUAUGAGAGAGUAUGUAUAUAAAAUGCUAGCUAGCCAUAUGUGUCUGUCCACCUUAAUGGCGUAGCAUAUAGCCGCAUUAUGGUGUGACGUGAGUCGUUGGACGCGAGCGUAGUAGCCUUAUAU
Molecule: long non-coding RNA, 1502 nt
Filed under: Fragaria vesca (wild strawberry)
Lineage: Eukaryota; Viridiplantae; Streptophyta; Magnoliopsida; Rosales; Rosaceae
Description: long non-coding RNA (FVES_LNC005115)
Source: RNAcentral